RNAcentral lists this ribosomal RNA (253 nucleotides) under uncultured bacterium. Its description in RNAcentral is "partial 16S ribosomal RNA". It matches the Rfam family "Bacterial small subunit ribosomal RNA", at positions 524 to 776 of the family's 1533-position model. The record is from RNAcentral.
UACGAAGGGGGCUAGCGUUGUUCGGAGUCACUGGGCGUAAAGGGCGCGUAGGCGGCUUUGUAAGUCGGGGGUGAAAGCCUGUGGCUCAACCACAGAAUUGCCUUCGAUACUGCAUGGCUUGAGACCGGAAGAGGUUAGUGGAACUGCGAGUGUAGAGGUGAAAUUCGUAGAUAUUCGCAAGAACACCAGUGGCGAAGGCGGCUGACUGGUCCGGUUCUGACGCUGAGGCGCGAAAGCGUGGGGAGCAAACAGG